This is a long non-coding RNA of Alligator sinensis (Chinese alligator), 1133 nucleotides long. RefSeq lists it as uncharacterized. The transcript has 3 exons. The record is from RefSeq and is a predicted model, not a curated record. Lineage: Eukaryota; Metazoa; Chordata; Crocodylia; Alligatoridae.
UUUCUCUUGGCUCAUGUGAUUACUUCUCUGAAUUGGUUCACGUCAGAGUCACUUUCCUGUCCAGGGUGAUGCUGUGCAACAUUACUGACAACCCACGAUAGAUGUGGAAGGCAAGGAUUUCAAAACACUAAUUUGACCAUAAUUUACCCUAGGUACACAAGAGCUUUAAAGCUGAAGUGGAUUCUGUGAAUAAUGCUACUCAGCCCAGAUAAAAACAAAAAUGGUGAGACAAGAAGGUCUGUAUGCGUGACUCAUUCCCAUGGCCAGGAGCUCCUCAGCUUGGAUCCCAGACCUACCAACAGUUUGGUACUCUCCAGCAAGAGGGACUGCAUGCCUGCCCUCCAUGGCCAGCUUUCCUCAUCUGAUGCAGCUCCCCAUCCCAGUUCAGGGGAGCUGGAGGCAAUUGGUCCAGGGAGCAGGAUGUAUCCCUCUCUUCCUGCAGGCUAACUAACGCCUGCCAAAGGCAGUGCACAUCAUGUAUGUUAACUCUCCUUCACCAGGCAGAAGCUGGCAGCCUCAGGACUCCCAGUGCCCCCCAAUAAACCUUAGAAAGCUCCCAGGGGCUCUUCAACAUCAGAAUUCUCACUGUGGGCUUUGAAAGUACCUUUGGGCUUACAUCACGUUUCGCAUAUUACACAAUUAACUGGCGAAUCUCACAAUAAAUUCAGACCAGUCACACGUGCAAAGUCAGGGCCCCUCGACAUACACAGGUAAAGGUGCCAUGCGAUCCAAUGCGCAAUCCACACAGUCACACCCCUGGCCAUGCCACACACGCAUGGCAGAAGGGCAACUGGUAUCACAUUAGAUCCCCUCAUGCCUUAUUGCCGGUACGGGGGGAGCCCGGGAUCACCAGCCUGGUGGUCGUCCUGCACCAGCUCCCACAGGGCUUGGCAGAGCACCCAGAGGGGCAGCUUUCUCCCCCCCAGCCCCGGGGAGCCCUGCACCUCCCAAGGCUCGCAGCAGCGGCAGCCUCCUCCCUGCAGCCAGAGACGCCUUCUCCUGGUUGCGCGCCCCACAGCCGACGGUGCCGCCAGCACAGCGCAUCCUGCACCCCUGCAGCUGCGAACCCCGCAGCUGACGGGGGAGCGCUCGGACUCGCCCUCAACUAGUGGCGCGACGACAACAAGCAACCA